UUGUAGACUGCGGUCCAUACUUUCUUUAUCAGCCGAUCCAGAGUUUCUCAUAGCCCACAGUCAAUGCAGGGGCUCAUUAGUGGGUCACCAAAGUCUGGUUGAUGAGCCAAGGGAUCGUAAUAUCAGUUUGUGGAUUUCAAGUUCUCCCCUAGAGACAUGUCAAUGUUACCUAGACCUGAUGCGACCACAAUUUCUAUGACGCAUAGGGGUAGCUCUCGCACAUGCAUAAGCUUCACUCUAAAAAGUGGUUCGCUUUUCCGAAACGGCUAUCAUUAUGCAUGUUGUGUGAUGGUACAUGGAUGCAGCUUUGGCCCCCGUCUCUGAAGGCCACCAUCACACACAAGGGUCACACAGUCCCUCGGCUCACUCAUCCAAGAAUACUCCAACCUCAUUAAGAGAUGACUUAUCAAAAUCCUUAUCAAAUAGUUUUCUAUGCCCAGGUAACAUAGGUUUUUCCUAACUGAGUGGCCUAGCUCGUCAAGCUCAUUCCAGUAUCAGCAAACAUCAUUUGCUUAGUAUAGCCCAUGAGGGACCACACUCCCACUGAGUUCAUGAUCCACUAUAACAUUU
Molecule: long non-coding RNA, 570 nt
Filed under: Amborella trichopoda
Lineage: Eukaryota; Viridiplantae; Streptophyta; Magnoliopsida; Amborellales; Amborellaceae
Description: long non-coding RNA (ATRI_LNC000975)
Source: RNAcentral